GAGUUUGAUCAUGGCUCAGGAUGAACGCUGGCGGCGUGCCUAACACAUGCAAGUCGAACGUGAGGAAUUAGCAAUAAUUCUGAAAGUGGCGAACGGGUGAGUAACACGUAGGUAACCUGCCGCGCAGAGGGGGAUAACGACUGGAAACGGUCGCUAACACCGCAUGGUACUGUUUUGGGGGGACCCUUGACAGUUAAAACUUAGGUGCUGCGCGAGGGGUCUGCGUCCGAUUAGUUAGUUGGUGAGGUAACGGCUCACCAAGACGAUGAUCGGUAGCUAGUCUGAGAGGAUGAUUAGCCACACGGGAACUGAGACACGGUCCCGACUCCUACGGGGGGCAGCAGUGAGGAAUAUUGCACAAUGGACGCAAGUCUGAUGCAGCAACGCCGCGUGGAGGAUGAAGGUCUUUGGAUUGUAAACUCCUUUUCUCAGGGAAGAGAAUGGACGGUACCUGAGGAAUAAGUCACGGCUAACUACGUGCCAGCCGCCGCAGUAAU
Molecule: ribosomal RNA, 497 nt
Filed under: uncultured Caldilineae bacterium
Lineage: Bacteria; Bacillati; Chloroflexota; Caldilineae
Description: bacterial SSU rRNA
Rfam family: Bacterial small subunit ribosomal RNA
Source: RNAcentral